This 266-nucleotide long non-coding RNA is filed under the name Elaeis guineensis (African oil palm). RNAcentral's name for it is "long non-coding RNA (EGUI_LNC062328)". The record is from RNAcentral. Lineage: Eukaryota; Viridiplantae; Streptophyta; Magnoliopsida; Arecales; Arecaceae.
UUGGAUCUUGAUCCGAUAAGUACUGAUUUAUAGGGUAUCCUAACGAGUCUAGGGCAUACUACUUCUAUUAUACUGAAGAACAAAAAGUGUUUGGCAAUAAUAAGGUAUUCCUUUUAGAAAAAGAGUUCCUUAGGGAAGGAACUAAUGCCACUAAGGUUAAACUUGAAGAAGUUCGACAGAUAGAAGAACUGACACAGAUAAGUAGAAAUAAAGAAUCAAAUUUGAUUAGAUCAAAUUUAGAGUCCAUUGUUAAGGCACCUUUAAGG